GGAUUACAGUCUGGACAGACCCCUUACCAAAUGAUUGUGUGCCAAGGACAAUUGCUCUGUGCUGGUCUUGCAGCGCGCCCGCGACAAUUUCCGAGGCAGAGGCAGAGCCGGCAUUUAUCAAUACUACAAUGGGCUGUCCAUCAGCUAAAUCUCCGGCUGUUGCAUUAUCCCGUUUUGAGUCAUUUGUGUUGCGUCCUCUUGUCGAUACGAUUUCACCUUUAUCAAGAAAAACAUCUGCAACGCCGAUGGCUUGAUCCAGAAGACCUCCGGGGUUAUUUC
RNAcentral lists this non-coding RNA (279 nucleotides) under marine eukaryotic metagenome. The record is from RNAcentral.